CUCUCCGUAGCUCAGUUGGUAGAGCAUCAGACUGGCAAUCUGAAGGACCUGGGUUCAUAUCCCAGCGGAGCUA
This is a non-coding RNA of Belonocnema kinseyi, 73 nucleotides long. Lineage: Eukaryota; Metazoa; Arthropoda; Insecta; Hymenoptera; Cynipidae. The record is from the annotation of a RefSeq genome assembly.